GGCGUUGCCGUGAGCUGUGGUGUAGGUUGCAGACACGGCUCGGAUCCCGCGUUGCUGUGGCUCUAGCGUAGGCCGGUGGCUACAGCUCCGAUUCAACCCCUAGCCUGGGAACUUCCAUAUGCCGCGGAAGCGGCCCAAGAGAUAGCAACAACAACAAAAAGACAAAAGACAAAAAAAAAAAAAAAAAAAAAAAAAAAAGAUAUACUCCAUGUUGUUUAUAGUUUACCAUCCUUAGCUGGUAGACUUUGUACUUAAGAUCACUUUCCUCAUGGCUUUAGUAUAACUUCCACAGUUCCAGAGGUCAAAUACUGAGGUAUAAAGUCCAGAGAAAGAGGAAGUAUCGUUUUCUUGUAUCUCUAUUUAACAGGCAAGUAAAAUGUUCCUCAAAGCACACUUUACCCUUGGGGGGGGAUGGGUGAGGGGGAAGGGUGGAGCGGGGGUGGGGGGUGGGUAUCAUCUCAUCUACCUCAUUGGUUGGAAUUGAAUCACAUGUUCAUGCUUAAUCCAAUCCCUGGCAAGAGAAAUGAGAUUAUCAUGAUUGUCUCAGACCUGUCAGGAUUUACCCACAAGUAGAGGCAGGCAUGGCUGUUGGAUAAGUAGUGCUUGGUGCCUGCUACCCUGUUAUCUUUUCCAGGUCUUAAAAGCUGAGCAACCUCCUGACAUUUAAUAAAGGAAGAAGUUAGAGGAAAGAAUUUUUUUUUUUUUUUAUUUUGAAAUGAGCUUUUGCUUUCAGAAGCCUCACAUAGUUGUAAAUAAAAUAAUAAAGCUCCAUGAAUUUGGGGUCCUUUACAGUAUUCAGGGUUGUAUUGUCCAGAUCGUUCUGUCACCACUGGUUAUACAUGGUUAUUUACAUUUAAAUUAAUUAGAAUUAAAUCAGAAUCACACUAGUCGAAUUUCAAGUUCACAGUAGCCACAAAUGGCUAAUGCCUACCCUUUUAUACAGCACAAGAUAUAGAACUUUUCCAUCCUUGUAGAAAAUGCUAUCAGACAACACUACUCAGAGAAUUAGACAUAGAGAAGCCAGCAGGUGACAUUUACUGAGCACUGACUCUGUCGCAGGCACUGGGCUCAUUGCUUUGUCUGUCUUAAUUGUUGUGGAAACCAGUGCUCUGAGUUAUGCCCUUUUUAUAGAAAGGAAGUCAUUGUGAGGAAGUGGCCUCCUGGAGAACAAGUUAGUGACCUUUCCUAAGCAAUGACACCUGUCUGUCGUGACCUGCCCUCCUAGUCACUGAAGCUAAGUUUGGAAGUGGGGCAACCCAACACUUCCAUCCAUCCAUCUUUUAAGUGAAAAGCAGAUGUUAGUUUAAGAUCUUCCACGUGUACAGGCCUCUCGAGAUCAAGAAUGCCCCAUGUAGCCCUCCUUUCCUUUUGCUUGUCUCAGGGAAUUAUAGCUCCUCAGCAUGAUUUCUGCCAAAGUUUUGCAUCUUUAGCUAAAUAAAUCAGGGACUGAAAGUGAGCGUUUUGUGUGUGUGUGUGUGUGUGUGUGUGUGUGUGCGUGUGCGUGUCUUCUUCUCACCACAGGGCUGUAAUAGAGAACAAAACAAACAAAAUUUUUUACCUGGUGAAGACUGACACUGAAGCAUGCACAGAAUAAUAAGUAAUCUCAUGAAAUAAUACUAUAAAAACUAAAGUAAGGUAAGGUCAUCAAGAGACAUGAAAAGAAGAAAGGUGCUAUUUCAGAAGGGGAAGCCAGAAAAGGCCUUCUAAUGAGGUGCUAUUUGGGAAAAGAACUUGCGUAUAAUGAGAGACUGAGCCAUGUGGAUAUCUGGGGCAGGUAUUCUGGGGCAGAAAAAAAGUGAAGCGAUAAUGGAACUAGGAAAGAUUAAAUAAUAUUCCUAAAAUCACUCUAACUUUAGUUGGGACUUAUUCUAGAACCUUGAGUAGCCCAGGAUGCUGUCAGUGUCUUAGCAUGCAUAGCAUGGCCCCCACAAGAAGGAAUUAUCUGGCCCCUGAUGUCAGUAGUGUCCAGGUUGAGAAACCCUGUGCUACAGGCUCUCCUGAGUUCCUUGCUUUUGUGCAGUCUGUCGCCAUGAUGCUGUGAGAGCUCCACCUUUCUAGCCAGUUACAAAAUCAUUUCCUAAAUGGAGCAAAUAUUCUCUGGCAAGAAUGCAGCAGGCUGUGUCAUGCGGGUUGGCUGAGGUGUUGCAGUGAGUGGCAUGGCAUUCACUCCUCUCUGGAGACCGGAGAGGAGAAAUGGAAAGCUUGGCAAGUUGACCAUUCCAGGAGUUUUUGCAUGAACUCAUAAAAGCAUAUAUCACAACUCUGGUCAUGGGGAAAAGCCCCUCCUCUCAUAUUGUGUGAAGGCAAUUAAUGAUAGGCAGCAGUAAAGAGGUGAUGAGAUUGCUUUUAUUGUUAUUGUUUUAUUUUUGAGGUCCCUGGUGACUACUCCUUGUGUCAAUCCUUUGAUCUAAGAAGCUGUUAUGAAAUAAUAUGUCUUCGUAUUGCUAGCCGUGAAGGACCCUUCAGAGGAGCUGAUCAAGAUGCUGCAGCACCAUGAGAAAAUUUACAGUUACCUGGUGUGAACCUUGACAAGUCACUUCAAAGCUGGGCAGGGCAUAGCACGCUUUCAUAAGUGAUCACUUUUACAAAAGGGAGUGGAAAGGAAAAUAGAGCUAUGCGUGGUGACUGUCAGGUCAUCAUGAUCUAGCUUUUUGUCAAGUGUCAGCACCUUAAUGUUUGAUAUGAGUAAUGUUAAUGUUGUAAUAAUGGUCACAGAGUGGAUUCCUCACCUUCCAUGUAUGGCCUAAAAGAUUAUACUCUGUUCGGGAUGUAAAUGGGUGUUUGUGUAUCUUUACAGGUCAAGGUGUCCUUAUCUUUCUACAGAGCAGGUGGUUGUUAUCUACUUGCUCUGUCCUCUUGUUCAUGUUUAGAUAAAGACAGAUUUGUGUGGUCACUGCCCCCAGGGAGCUCAAAGUCUCUUUUCCUCUUUCUCUUUUGAAAAUGAAAUCUCAUUAUCUGUGAUAGGCAGUGACUUAGAAGGUUAAAUAUACCAAGAUCGAAUAUAUUUAUCCUGAUACUCCUGUAGUAGGCCUACGGAGAUUUUGAAAAGGUGUGAGAGAUCAUUCAUAUGCCAGGUUGACCCAGAAAUAUUCUUUCUUUGAAUUAGAAUGAUAACAUCUUACCCAAGUAUUGACAUAUUCAUUUAAAUUGUGUUCAAAUCUGUGUUAUUCUAGCUCCCUUGGUCCCUACAAUUUGGAAUUCAAAUCCAGAUGGCUAUUUAUGUUGAAGGUCAUGUGAGAAGCACUUUUCUCCCCAAAGAAAUGUUGGCAUUAUCGUAGUGUCUUUUUCGUAUCCUGUCUUCUUUCUCACAUCCAAGACUAGUUCCAAAGAAUUUUGUUUGUCGUUACUGUUGAUAAGAGACUUUGGUUUUGAAAUAUGUUUUCUCUUUUAAGUUUUUUUUCUCUUAAAUUUUUGAGUCUAACAUUCCUGAUUGAUAACUGUAUCUUCCAGGUUUCCAUACAUAUGUGAAAGGGGUAGAUUUGGGAUUUCAAAUCUCUCUGGUGGAAAUACCAAUUGAAUUAUAAAAAGGAGAUAUGUUCCUAUCACAAAUGUAUUAUUUAACACCGUUAUUAUAUUAAAAUAUGUUUUCCAAUUAAAAUGUUUGUUAUAAAACAGCUAUUCAUUAUUGAAGUAUUACUUCAAAUAGAAUAGCCACACUCCAUUUGUUAAGUAUUUUUUUGUAGUAAGAAAGGGACACCAUGCUCUUUUACUCUGUUUUCUUUUGGUUUGUUCAAAUAUAUCAUGAUUUCACUGUUGUAAAUAAUUUUUCCUAACUUUCCUUACUCAGACAACCUCAAAAUGCAUAGAUUCUCAUUUCAGUAAUUUUUCUAAAGGUUGUUCUGAGUGCUGCCCUUUGUAGAAUAUGUCUUACUGGAUCUUAGCAUUUAAAGUUUUUUUUUUUUUCAGGAAUUUGCAUCAUGGCUCAGUGGUUAAUGAACCUGAUUAGCAUCCAUGAGGAUGUAGAUUCCAUCCCUGGCCUUGCUCAGUGGGUUAAGCACUGCUGUGAGCUGUGGUGGAAGUGGCAGAUGUGGCUCAGAUCCAUUGUUGCUGAGGUUGUGAUGUAGGCCAGCAGCUACAGCUCUGAUUCGACCCCUAGCCUGGGAACCUCCAUAUGCUGUGGGUGC
This 4124-nucleotide long non-coding RNA is filed under the name Sus scrofa (pig). Its description in RNAcentral is "lncRNA (ENSSSCG00030050598.1)". The record is from RNAcentral. Lineage: Eukaryota; Metazoa; Chordata; Mammalia; Artiodactyla; Suidae.